This 247-nucleotide ribosomal RNA is filed under the name uncultured bacterium. RNAcentral describes it as "partial 16S ribosomal RNA". It matches the Rfam family "Bacterial small subunit ribosomal RNA", at positions 523 to 769 of the family's 1533-position model. The record is from RNAcentral.
AAACAUAGGGGGCAAGCGUUGUCCGGAAUCACUGGGCGUAAAGGGCGCGUAGGCGGUCUGUUAAGUCGGAUGUGAAAUGUAAGGGCUCAACCCUUAACGUGCAUCUGAUACUGGCAGACUUGAGUGCGGAAGAGGCAAGUGGAAUUCCUAGUGUAGCGGUGAAAUGCGUAGAGAUAUGGAGGAACACCAGUGGCGAAGGCGGCUUCCUGGUCUGUAACUGACACUGAGGCGCGAAAGCGUGGGGAGC